Molecule: small RNA, 72 nt
Filed under: Escherichia coli str. K-12 substr. MG1655
Lineage: Bacteria; Pseudomonadati; Pseudomonadota; Gammaproteobacteria; Enterobacterales; Enterobacteriaceae
Description: small regulatory RNA C0293
Source: RNAcentral
UACUCACCCGGGACUCGCCAGGGGACAGCCAACAGGCAUUGGGUGCAAUCACCUUAGCGUUCAGGUACAUGC